CAGCACUGUAAGAGGUACAAAUAACAAGGACAUGCACCUUACCUAUGCACAAACCAUCAUAGUAAUAGCUGCCAUGGAAGGUUAUGAUCUCAAAGAGAUCUGUUCAAGGUAGUAAACUUGAAUAUAACUGUGUGUGCCACAGAAGACACAGACACAUGGACUACUCAAAAGGACAAAAGAGAACAACUAGUUCUUUUGCUCUUAACCAUUAACUGUCUCCCAGAGAAUACUGCAAAUACACUAUGAUCACAGCUUCAAAACACACAGUUAUGAGUUUACUGAUUACUUGUCUUCAUUUUCACAAUGUGGGCCAAAAUGCUGCUUUCACUAAGCUUCUUCCCAUGUGUGGGUGGAAACCACUAGUUCUCUGUAGACUCUUGGUUUAUUCUUUGGUGCAUUGUUGUCAGUUGGUCAGUCCACUUCCCUUUAAGAACAUGAGAGGUAUCAUUCCUGUAGGAGGAGAGGGUAAACCAAAAAUAAACCAGAACAGAUCCUGUGGAGAGUGAAAAUGGAGCUGGAUGUGUAAAUCAGGAUUAAACUGCAAAACCAAAGCAGAAAUACAGUUCUUUGUUAUCCAGAAAUUCUUUGAGCCUAUGAUAGUAUAGUUUCUUCUCUCUUGGAAUAUCUCCUACUUAAUUUGUCCUGUUGAUUGCUUUUUGUGCUCCAGAAUGUAAGACAUAUAUGAUGAACAUAUCAUGGAAAAGAUAAAGAGCUUGUGCAAUUCUGUUACUCUAACACUAAUAGUUGAGUACAACUUUAUUUCAAAUUAUAGGUUGAUUCUCUGGUUUUGUGGCCAUAUCACUUCAGAUCACUCUUUUUCUCCUUAUUCAGAUCCUCAUUCUGUAUUCUAUAGCCUACCAGAAAGUUUUUAUGAGAUCCGCUUGUAUAAGGAGAAAAAUGUAUAAUUUGCUAUCAUAAUGUUAUGAAUUCUAGAUACAUACAUUAGAAAAAGUUUUCCCAACAUAUGAUUUCACUGUGUAAAACUGAUAGCUAAUUGAAAUAGAACAUUUUAUAAUAGAUCCAAAAUACCUGUAAAUUGCCUACCUAGUACAGACACGGUGAAUAAGAAGCAAUGAUUUUGAGUUAAUUGAUGAAAAUAAAGGAAAGUUGUAGCUAGCUAGAGAGUUGAGGCAGAAUUCUGCCUGCUGGUGUGAAAAGGGGUCAGUGGCCAGGAUUUUCUUUGCCAUCUGAGCUCCUGAUAUUCUCAAGUAGCUUGAGUUGUGAAGAGUGCUUAGAGAGAGCAAUCUCUCCACAGUGGAGAGCAUAAGACCUACACAACCUUCCUGCAGCUCCUGUUGAAUUACUCAAACACUGUCUGGGCAUACUGGCCCCUUCUGCAAGUAACAUAUACUAUUUUUUCCCCUAGGUUUUUCAUUGGCUUUCAAGUCCAAAGGGUAGGCAGGAAGAAGGAAUUGCUCUUUCUGGAGCACCCUUGGCUUAAUAUGUUUUGUUUUUUUCCUCUCCCUUUUUUUUUUUUUUUCCAGAGCAAUUGUGUCCCCUCCCUUUAAUCUCUCUCAGUAACAGGGAAUGUAGAAGCUGCCUGUAACAAUACUAGGCAAGCAUUUUUCCAUUCCAAACAGUGGAACAGAGUCUGAUGGUACCCCUCUAAAGAAGUAUACAAAACCUUUAGGUGGCAGCCAAGGGCUACAGUUUGAAUCCGUAGAUUUAUUGGUUGUGUGGUUUAUGGUCUCUGCUUCAGGUGGCAAAGAAGGUAUGAUGACAAAUGAAUUUCUAAUCCAUCCAGAAGUAAAGCAGAAGAAAUUUCACACAGGUAAAACAAUUUUUAAAAAGCUGGAUAUGUCUGGAUAUACAGAAAUGCACCUGGAACCUCUGUGGACUUCUGCCACCCUCUGUUUCGUUCAAAAUACUUUUAAAAGCACACCCUAAAGCUUAACUAACAUCAUAUCUCUAUUGAUACAUUUGUUAGAAAAAUGGCAUUCAAUAUAAUGCUUUCAUGUUGUAUUCAGAACAUGAAUGAUAAUGUGUGUCUGGACCUGGGAGGAGGUUGGAAACAUUUGGUGGUCCCCUGACACGCACCUCCUCUGGCACUGUAAUGCCUCAACAAGUUUCCUGGGCAAUUUGGGGCAUGCUGUGGAAGACUUCAUGCCUAAAGAUGGUCAUUCAAAUGAUAUCUUCAGAAAUUGUAAUUCAGGCUUGUUAUCCCCAUGCCACUCUAAAACAGAGCUUUGUGAUGUUACGUAAAAGAAAAAAAGAAUGGACUUGUCAAAAUCCCGAGGUUAGUUUGCUGCAGUUAUGUAGUAGCCAUGUUGAAAUUCUGCUGAAAUAUAUCCUUACAAUGUGUUAUUAAGUCAUCUAAAAAUAUCAAAAUAUUUGGCGAUGAAGGUAAAACUAUUUGAAAGAAACUGUAGACUCCAGAGAAUUUCUUUUAGGCAAGAAAAUGCAUCUUUGUUUUUACAAAUAGCUGCACAAUGAUACCUUUUGGUAUAGAAUUUACUUUUUAAAAAACUUACUGUCAUUUUCAUGCAAGAAAAUAUAGCCACAUUUUAUUAUGUAUUCGGGAAGUGAAAACCAGAAAAUGAGAGAUUUACAAAUAACCUCAUCUGUUUAUUAUACUGUUCCCAAAUUUUUCUUUGUCAUUAGCAAUCACAAGCAGCUACAAAUCAUGUUGUCCACCUCUGCAUUCUCAUGCAGCAUGCAUCAUCUCAUCAUUGUACAGAUAGGCUGAAGUAUUGAACAUUGUGGUGCCAGGAACUUACACCCGUGCAGAACAAACAUCCAAGUUCAGCAGUGAGACAAAUACUUGUACCCUGAUUGCACACCAAAUGUUAAAAAUCAAGUACUUUAACUUAAAUGACUAAUGGUUCAAUGACUAACAAAAUUGGUUUACAUCAAGAUUUGCAUUAGAAUAUAUAACUUCUUUUCACAGUGUUUGUGAAUGUGCCAGGUCUGUCUUAGUGUGUAGGUAUUUAUUAGGUAAGAUGCAGUUUUUCUCCCUUUCCUUUCUCUGUUUUCACAUUCUCUAUUUUGUGUGAACCCAUGUAAAUGACUGAAGCCAUAUGUAAGUACCAUUUCCACUAUUUCUGAAUCUUCAGGUACAAGCAAGGCUCUCUCCAGAAGACUUCCAGCUGUUUAACACACACUUGGACUAGAGCUAGUACAUCUGCCUCCCUGCAGAGCCUGUUUGUUGGUUUGUGUCUAGUUAGCUCUGAGCAGAAGCAGAAUGAAAGGAACAAGUGACUGAGCCUGGCCUUUCCCACCUGUGGAGAGGUGCCCUGCUUUUCUUAUUAAGGUUGUAUCCCCUUCCUCUUUUUUGUUGCUGCAUACUAGUUCACCUCCCAUGGGGUAGAAAAGGGCAGACAUGCUUUACAAAUUCUUUGCUUUUUAAUUAUUCACUCCCAUCAUCAGGCUAAAGCUUCCUCUCAUCAAGUUCCUACUUGACUAGCUACAAGAUGUCUGCAUUCACCUCCAGGAAGCAAAGAAAGAAUAAGGCAUCUAAUUCACAUGGUUGAAAUUACUUAGGAAACAGAAUGGUCUGUGCUGAUGUGGAAUAUAGCCAAGAUACUAUAAAAGAUGCCCUUGUUAUUCAAGAGGCACCAGCAGAUGUUUACAUGAUAAAAAAGAUAAAGACAAAAGUUUUCCAGUCAGGAGACACCCACUCCUCUUGCAUGUAUAUUCCUUAUUACUGGCAUUUUGUUUGUUCAUCUAACAAAACAUAGGAGGCUGGCUUACUAAAAGCUGAGUUACUAAAUGAUCUACUUACUUUUUUUGUUAAAUAAUUUAUUACUGCAUAAACAUAUUUUUUUCCAAUUAAAAAAUGCCCAUCACCUCCUAUUCAGCUUUGCAGUCUCUCUUGGUGUAAAUUUUCUUUGGAGGCUCUGUCUCGUGACACUGGUUUUGUAAGUGACACUGACCAGCUGGGCAUUUAUCCACUGUCUCGUGCUGAGCCACAUGGAGAUGUUUUGUGACACACUUCCCUACCUGGGGAAUAUCUGGGAUAUGGGGGUGGUUUAAAAUGUUUGUUUGAGUAAGAUGAGAAAUGAUCUCACAAGUUGCCGGAAAGGAGCUUAGUGCAAUGGGAGCUAAGAGAGGACGUGUCCAGUAUGGUGAAGAAGGAAUUACUCAUCAGCUCAUAUAAAUAACAAUAGCAGGUGUGGGUAAUUGCACUUUAGUAAAAUUGUAUUUGAAAGCAGUUAAGUUGUAGUUUCUUAGCAACCGCGGCUGACAGCCACAUUUUACGUGGCCAAGGCUUUUCAAUUAUGCAACACCCAUACCCUGCUAUGCAACAGCAUUAAAUGGGGAGAAACACCAAAGCAGAAGUAUUUUUACUCUCUAAACAGAAACACAACAGAAGGCCAGAGCCACAGAGCAGGUGAUGAAGUAGAAAAAUCAGAAAUUACAUUUACAUUUCCAGGUGUCCAUAGAUUUCUCAAGCAGAAGUACUGAUUUACAAAUAAGAGUGGACUCUUCAAAUGAAUAUGGUCUGCUAUACACUGAACCAAAAUUUUCAAAAAUGGCCUGGAAUUCAGUGUACCUCAAAACAGAGCAACACGAUUUUGGACAUUUGAUUCAGGCAGGAGCUGAUUUUCCCUCUAGUUCCCCCUGAAAUCAAGUGGAUUGCAAGUUGAAAUCUGAAGAUGGUUGACUAGUUCAGUACACACAUUACAAUGAUAAAAGCCACAUAUGCUACAUGGGAUUUUUUCUUACAGAAAUCCAAUCUGUGUGCCAGAUAAAGCUGCCACACUUUUCUAUGUUUCCUUUUUCUUCUUUUUUUUUUUUUCUAGUUGAUCUAGAAAAGGUUGUCUAAAUAAUCUAAAUAAUGAUCUAAAUUAAUAAUUUAGAUUAACAAUAAAUCAUCACAGAUACUGCUUAAUUUCUUAUUCAUUUUUUCAUUUUGUGGAAUAGGAACGUAUUUCUUUCUUUUGAUACUUUUACUCAAAAUGAACGAUACCAUCUUUCUUCAGUAGCUAUUUCUCAGUUACUCUUAUGUCAAGGAUAUUUUUCUGAAUGAUAUUUAGAAACCACUUCCAUAAUUGUAUGUGCUGUUUAUUUAAGCCAUGUAGAAUUUUAAAGUUGUCUCCAUUGGCUGAUGGCAGGGCACCUAUCCCAUAAAGGAACAUGUUUUUAUAAUUAAAAGAGAUACUGCUGUCUCUACACAGCCUUUGCCUAUUACUGCCAAUUAAAUCAUUGACACUUCA
This is a long non-coding RNA of Pezoporus occidentalis (night parrot), 5156 nucleotides long. RefSeq lists it as uncharacterized. Lineage: Eukaryota; Metazoa; Chordata; Aves; Psittaciformes; Psittacidae. The transcript has 2 exons. The record is from RefSeq and is a predicted model, not a curated record.